RNAcentral lists this ribosomal RNA (207 nucleotides) under uncultured bacterium. Its description in RNAcentral is "partial 16S ribosomal RNA". It matches the Rfam family "Bacterial small subunit ribosomal RNA", at positions 568 to 774 of the family's 1533-position model. The record is from RNAcentral.
AGCGUAGGUGGGCUGGUAAGUCAGUGGUGAAAUCUCCGGGCUUAACUCGGAAACUGCCGUUGAUACUAUCAGUCUUGAAUGUUGUGGAGGUAAGCGGAAUAUGUCAUGUAGCGGUGAAGUGCUUAGAUAUGACAUAGAACACCAAUAGCGAAGGCAGCUUGCUACACAAUUAUUGACACUGAGGCUCGAAAGCGUGGGGAUCAAACA